GCACGCUUGUGCAGUCAGGUGACACUAGAAUAGUUGGAAGGAAUGUUUAGGGAGGUAGCUAUAGCACUGUACGCGCACAGGGGCGCGCGUAACCUCACGCGCGCGCGGCGUGCGUGCCCGGGCUUUGAACAGCAUCUGGUCAAAGCCGCCGUCGAGACGGAUCGCUCGCCACCCACUUGGACUUGGGGCAGUGAGACACCACCUGAAUCCUGAUCCACACAGGAGCAAAGCUUUGAAUUGAUGAGCCUAUGAUACGCCUAUACAUGCAUGCCCUUGGCCAAGUUCCAACGUUCCCAAACUCCCACGCCCCCACCUGGCCAGGCCAUGCCACCCCCUAUCUCUCUUCCAAUUACCUGGGCCUCCAUCGCCUUCUACUCC
This 378-nucleotide long non-coding RNA is filed under the name Setaria viridis. RNAcentral's name for it is "long non-coding RNA (SVIR_LNC008491)". The record is from RNAcentral. Lineage: Eukaryota; Viridiplantae; Streptophyta; Magnoliopsida; Poales; Poaceae.